CCUACGGGUGGCAGCAGUGGGGAAUAUUGCACAAUGGGGGAAACCCUGAUGCAGCGACGCCGCGUGAGUGAAGAAGUAAUUCGUUACGUAAAGCCCUAUCAGCAGGGAAGAAAAUGACGGUACCUGAGUCAGAAGCCCCGGCUAACUACGUGCAAGCAGCCGCGGUAAUACGUAGGGGGCAAGCGUUAUCCGGAUUUACGGGGUGUAAAGGGGGCGUAGGCGGUGCGCCAAGUCUGGUGUGAAAUGCCGCAGCUUAACUGCGGAACUGCGUUGGAAACUGGCGAACUAGAGUGCGGGAGGGGUAAGCGGAAUUCCUGGUGUAGCGGUGAAAUGCGUAGAUAUUAGGAGGAACACCGGUGGCGAAGGCGGCUUACUGGACCGUAACUGACGUUGAGGCGCGAAAGCGUGGGGAGCGAACAGGAUUAGAUACCCCUGUAGUC
This 440-nucleotide ribosomal RNA is filed under the name uncultured bacterium. RNAcentral's name for it is "partial 16S ribosomal RNA". It matches the Rfam family "Bacterial small subunit ribosomal RNA", at positions 338 to 795 of the family's 1533-position model. The record is from RNAcentral.